This 2018-nucleotide long non-coding RNA is filed under the name Nicotiana benthamiana. RNAcentral describes it as "long non-coding RNA (NBEN_LNC042053)". The record is from RNAcentral. Lineage: Eukaryota; Viridiplantae; Streptophyta; Magnoliopsida; Solanales; Solanaceae.
AUUUUUCUACCACACAAAUCAAUCAUGGUACUAAACUUUCAGAAAGCAUAGCUUCAACUUUUACAGUGCGUAAUCAGAAAAAGAAGAAGCUUAAUUAACAAAUAUAAUACAAGAUUCACUACUAAAUAUUGAAGGAGUAGCAGAAACAGAAGAAAUUAUUUCAAGAAUAAAGGGGUUCAAGAACUAAACUAUGAACAAAUCGUUUAAUACUAGGCUUCAAACUUUCACUUUUAUUUCAUUCUUCCAACUCGAGCUUCACAGUAGAUAAGAUUCAGACAUGCACCUGGGAACUAAAAGAGAAACAAAGAGGUGAAGGAUCAGCAAGGAGCACCAGUAGAAACCAACUCAAAAAUCAACAAAGAAACAGUAUAACACCAGCAGAGCAAGCUUCAAAGCCCUGGCCAAUUCCAGACUUCUAAAACCCAGUUUGAACCAUUCUAUUGAACCCUUGAAAUUCUGAUUUACCAAAGGAAAUAGAAAUCGAAAACCCAAGAAAAAACUCAAGCAAAUUUCAGUAUUCUUACUUAAGAGAAAAUAGUCAGCCGCUUUCAAUUUUUGUGUUUUUCAAUUUCCUGAAAUUUGCCUUGUUCAAGAAGAAUAUGCAAGGUAUUAGGGAAGCAAAGCUGAAAAUAAUUUUGCACUUUACACCCUUUGGAAUUUUUAUUUUUUCUUACAUAUCCUUAGUGUAAAAAUCAGAUUUCUGAGUCAGUCACAAUCCCAGCUUCUAGAAAAGCUUCCUAUUCAGUUAUUAAAGAUUCUCCUACUUAGAAUUCCUAAGCUACCCCUUCACGGUUUUUACCCUAAAAUCUCAAUGUCAAGUUGACCCAAUAGUUUAAACCAAAGUGAAGGGGCUAUUUAUUUUGCAAAUGGGUCAGAAACAAACCAAAGCCCAAACAACAAAAUUAUCCAAACUACAUUCUAUAAUCACAUAGAAGGCAGAAGAAAAGAAAUACUUAAAUGAUUUCAAAAUUAAAGAUAUAGUCUAAAUUAAUGAUUAAUAAACAAGCUAGAAUUAACUAAAUUAUCAAAUUAAUACCAAAUAUAACUGGGUUGAAUAUCAGGCUAAAACAAAAAACUCAAAAUCUAAACAGGUAAAAUGCAUAAACCAACAAAAUUAAUGAAAAUUAAAAUGAACAAAAACAAAGAAAAACUAAAAUAGGAGAUUAAGAGGGUAUUCACUAAAUUUAUCAGAAGAAAACAAAACUUAAAGAAAAAAAUUGAAGAAAAAGAGAAGAACAGAUGUGAAACAACAUAAAAAGACAAACAAAACACAAAAGAAAUGCAGAAACUUACCAAAUAGACUCGAAAUCGAUUUUGAUAUUCGAACUUAACCCAAUAUAAUGCUAAUUGCUUGUUCUUUUUCAAGAACCAGUGACCAUCAUUAUUUUGUGGUAAGUUAGCCUUGAGAAACUCAGGAAAUUCGAGAAAUAGCCUUGCAUGCAACCAAUUUAAGAAUAGGCAUAUUAGGAUUUUAGGGCUAGAACUCAGAUUCAAGAUUCAACAGGUUUGAGAAAGAUUGGAGGAAAACAAUUAGAAAUUGGGAAGAGGAGAGCGAAAGGGUGCUAAGGUAUAUAUUUGGGGGCGAUUGGUGGUGGCGCUGCCACUGGAGAGUGGAGACUAUAGGGAUGACGCUAGGGUUCUGCUUAGGUCGUCUUUGAGAUAGAGAUAAUGAGAGACGGAACUGGGGGGCGAUGGUUUGGACAGUUUUAUAAUAAGUGAUGAGGCAGUUCCGAGCCGUUGCAUGAUGAGAACCCAACUGCUCUGAUUGAUGGAGUAAAAACGAGGGCGUUUGUUUGUUUGGAGAUUGGACCAAUUUUUUAACGGGUUUGGGCUUAUUUUACCUAGGUUUCAGGGGUAUUCAAUUGGGCUUGGGAAAUUUCAAUUGUUUUUGGCCCAAACAAUCUGAUCUCUUCUUUUUUUUUUCUUUUUUUUUAUUUCAAAAUUCUUUUCUUUACUCAAAAUUAAAUAUUUAAAACCUAAAUUAUAUCUUAAAACUAAAUUAGCAUAUCAAAUUAAGC